Molecule: long non-coding RNA, 2083 nt
Organism: Mytilus californianus (California mussel)
Lineage: Eukaryota; Metazoa; Mollusca; Bivalvia; Mytilida; Mytilidae
Exons: 3
Source: RefSeq, a predicted model, not a curated record
GAAACCAGGGAGUCCAUCUUUUAUGCUCUUCCAUUGACUUAUCUCCCUUGGGUAAGAUCUCAAACAUGUCAGCUCCCAGUGAUGGUUUGGCAGACAAAUGUUUUCAGUGAAGUUUGUGACUUUAAAAUUCUAGGAUGAGCAUGUGGGCUAUCCCAGCCUUAUACAUCUACAUAUUACAAACUAUUUAAGAUAUCUGAAUGCACUAAAGACCAAAAUAGCAUUUCCAAAAAAAAAAUAAUUAAAAUGUACUGCCAAGAAAUUUGACAAUCAUGACAAUAAUUUAGUGAAUAAACAUGAUACAUAUUGAUUGGAAAAAUAAUUCCAUGAACAGCAAAAAGUGUUUUUAGAUUUCAACGAGCAAAACAAAAGUAUUCUAAAUCAUUCUUCGUAAAAAAAAAGGUGAGUGAGUGGAACCACCUUGCUCGCACCAAAAUUGAGAUUGAGAGUGUCAAAACUGCUCUGGCGCACCAUCAAUAAAUCAACGACACUCUCUCUACCGUGGUAUUGAAACCAGCAUUGGUAACCAAACAUAUUCAUACAGAUACAGACUACCAUUCAUCUACAUUUAGGAAGUCUGAAUAAUACUGAAAACUAUGGUGUAGAAUUUCCAACAGGACUCCUUAUUUUAUAUAAGACAAGGAGUGGUUUAUUUUCCCAUGGUUGUUACAUCAUCUUGUCUUUGAAUAUGCUUGAAGUACAGGGACUUUUAUGGAAUUCAUUGACAUGAUAGUCAAGCAAGAUGUCAACAUCUCAUCCAACCCUCUUCCAGCAAAGCCAAAGCUGACCAAGGAUCUUCACCCUUUCAAAACAGGCUGUAUACAGGACGAGUUAUUCCAGUAGGAACAGGGCUAUAUAUAUGCAAGCAAUGCUCAAUUAAGAUGAAUUUUUGUAAAAGUGACAAUAGCCAGGUCAAACUAAAUACAUGUAUAGAAGAAGAUAUUGAUCUAGACUUGCAUCUAACCUUUCUGUCAGUGUCAACAACAACUGAACUUUCACAGCAGUCAACAUCAGAUUGGGAGACUGAUAAUGCUUCUAACAGAAACAAUUUCAACCAACCAAACAAGCAACAGAAACUUUCCAACUUUAAAACAUCAGUUAAAUCUUCCAUGGGAUGAUGUCUCAAAAAAUAACAGUUCAUCAUUUAUGGAGAUUUUAAUGUUAUGGUUUUUCUAUUACAAGAAAGUUAAUGUACACUUGUUUUAUAGUAAAACCUAUAGCCGUUCAAGUAUAAAAAAACACAUUCAACUUUAUUGAAAUUUGAAGAUUCAUAUGACUUAUUUUAAUUCUUUUAUCUCCGAGGAUGUGAUGUAGAGCUUUAUAGGUACAGUAAUCUUAACAGCUAUCCAAUUUCAUUUAAAAUUCUUUAUAAAUUUUGCACUGGUAUAUAUAGACUAAGUAAUUUGUUUUUCGUCUAGUUAUGGGAUUUUUUUUUAGAAGCAUUUAUGAUUUUCAUGUUUGUAUUGACCACAUUGCAGCAACAUAGAUAUAGGUACCUGGCAAAUCUUGCCUUGUUAGCAUACUAGGCUCAAAGGGGCAUAAAAAAAUUUCCAUCAACAAGUGUCUGUUAAAAUCAGCUGUUUCCAGUUUUCACUUUUAAACCAUCAUCUUAAUAACUUUAGAAGAAGUGUCAUACAUAUACAUAUGUAUACAAAAUUUAAAAACUUUUCAAUAUAUAUAUAUAUAUAUAUAUUGAUAAAAACUAUCAACAUGACAAGAUCUAAAUACCCAACAUUUUUCUGAAAAAUUGGACAUAACAUCUAUGAGCUAUUGUCCCUGAAAUUAGUAAAUUUACAAACUUUCACAGUUUUCUGCUACUAUCCGACAACUAUAUCAAUAUAUUAUAAGAAUAAAUUGCAAAAGUGGUCAGAAGAAACUUUUUUUUACAGUCUGAACUUAUUCUGAAUUGUUUAACUUCUAAUUUAAAUUGAUUGCAUUUGAAAUAUGUGUUUUUUUAUCGUUUUAGGUGCACAAUUUGUCAAUACGAUCUAUUUCGGCUCCUGGGAGCCUCUAGAUUUAUAAUGAAUAAUUUGUAUUUAUGUAUGAUUAUUUUCUUCAUGUAUUAAAUGAAACAUUAAUUAUUCUU